This 200-nucleotide ribosomal RNA is filed under the name uncultured bacterium. Its description in RNAcentral is "partial 16S ribosomal RNA". It matches the Rfam family "Bacterial small subunit ribosomal RNA", at positions 8 to 200 of the family's 1533-position model. The record is from RNAcentral.
AGAGUUUGAUCCUGGCUCAGGAUGAACGCUAGCGGCAGGCUUAAUACAUGCAAGUCGAGGGGCAGCAUGGUGUAGCAAUACACUGAUGGCGACCGGCAAACGGGUGCGGAACGCGUACAGAACUUUCCUUAAGGCGGGGGAUAACCCAGAGAAAUUUGGACUAAUACCCCAUAGAAUAUUGAGAAGGCAUCUUUUUGAUA